Molecule: long non-coding RNA, 3295 nt
Organism: Cyprinus carpio carpio
Lineage: Eukaryota; Metazoa; Chordata; Actinopteri; Cypriniformes; Cyprinidae
Source: Ensembl
UCUAUGUAAGUUAAAGACUGUGGUAUCAAAUGUUCACACAUUAUAAUCUGUUACAGUUUAAUAUUUUAAGAUGUUAAAAUAUUCAGUUCCAUUACUGUGAUGUUCAUUUAAUUAGUAUUAUUGUUAUAUUAUUAUUUUUAUUAUUAUUUUUGUAUAUGUAUACUAAGCUUUGGCAAUAUUGUAUCAUUUACAUUCAUGCCAAUAAAGCAAUUUAAAUUGAAUUGAGAGAGAGAGAGAGAGAGAGAGACAGAGAGACAGACAGACAGACAGACAGACAGACAGACAGACAGAAACAGAGAGACAGACAGAGACAGAGACAGAGACACAGACAGACAGACAGAGAGAGACAGACAGACAGACAGAGACAGAGAGACAGACAGAGACAGAGACACAGACAGAGACAGACAGACAGACAGACAGACAGAGACAGAGACAGAGACACAGACAGACAGAGAGACACAGACAAAGAGAGACAGACAGACAGACAGACAGAGACACAGACAGAGAGAGACAGACGGACAGGUGAGGGUUUGUUCUCUUCUUAUGUUCGUCUGUUCCGCGCGUGUCCUGCAGGAGGCGCCGCUGCUCCGCGCUCGUGCGCCGGAAGUGAGUUUGAGUAGAGUUGAGUUUGCAGAAGUUGUGACUCUGUGGAGUUCAGCAGGUUAUUAGAUUCACUUCUGCACUUUAAACUCUCCUCCUGCAGCGCAGACAGAUCUACAGCAGCACACACGUGCUUCACUGACGGUUACAUUAUGACGCUGCAGACGAGCACAGGGCUUGAAAUGCAGCAGCUCCAGAGGUGCGUUUGGUUUUUCUCGGCUGUGAUGUUCAGAUGUUGUUCAGGGUUCAUCAUCAGCUCGUCUGUCUUUCUCUCCUCUGAUUGUUGUCUGGAAGCCUCUGCGAGAGAAACUCAAGACCUGAUUGAAAACAGCUCUCUCUUUCACACAAACAGCUGCUGUGAAGGUCUGUGUGUGAUUUCUGCUGUUUGUUCCAUUUACUUCAAUAACAUGAUCUGAAGCAGCACAGUUCUUCAGCAUCUCCACUUCUCACUGGGUUGGACCGCAGCGGCAGCUUUGUCUAAUGGUGCACAACAAAUUUGGGAUCUACUGGUGUUUUCUGUUUUCUGUAUUGCAUGAAUACUUUGUGUUGCACAAACUAAAUCUGGACGGUGGGUUUGUAGCUCCCAGCGUGGACAUGAAGAGUAAAGUUGGAAGAGUUUGUGUAAUUCUCAUUGUGUUUAUGUGCUUGUGUUUAUGUGAUCGCAUUUAAUACAUUUAAAAAAAAAUAAAAAAAUCUAUAUUUUUAGCAUCUGUGCAUUGAAUUAGAAAAUUAAUUAACUAAGAUAAGUUUGAUUGUUCUGUAAAACUGCUGUUUGUUUGAAUAGACUCAAUAAAACUGACGUAUUCGGAAUGAAAGAUGUUCAAUUAAACAUUCUAUAAUUGAUUUAGUUAAUUAAGUUUUUUUCUUUAGACUUUUUUUAAUGGGUGUUAUAUUAGGGUCAGUGAAAAACAUCUGCUGACUGAAUGAAUGAAUGUGAUGGAAAUUAAUCUGCAAAUGUUCGUCACUCAAACACAGUCAAGUCACAUUUAUUAUUAUGGCACUUUAUACUGUACAGACUACUGUUUUAAAGCAGCUUCACAGUAAUAAAUGGUUAAUGUUGCAGAAGUUUCAGCUGUAAGCAGCUUUACAGAAGACAAUAGAGUCAUUCUGUGUCAGAUAAUAUUUCAGACACUUCCCCAGCUAAAAUGUGUGAUUAUUAUUAUUUUUUUUUUCUGAAGAAAGACAAACAAAAAUAGUACUGAAAGCUAAAAUACUAAAUGCAGUGGAUUGAUAUUUACUAUGUAAUGUUUAGUAAUGCACUAUUUUGCAGAGGAGAGUCAAAAUGACUGUUUUCAUCUGAGAUUCAGAGCCAAACUACAGGAGGGUAAAAAUGAGUUCAGAAAGAUGGCAGCAUCAUGAUGUUAUUUUCACACAGAGAUUGUAAGCUCUAGCAGUAAAAUCUGUUGACUUCAGCAAUCUUUGCUGCAUUACAUGACAAUUGUGACACUUCAAAAAUGGGGAAAAAGCUCUUUUCUAAGUUUUUCCAAAGUUUGAUGUAACUCAAGAAGUAUUAAAGAUAUCUUAGAUUGUCCUUUUAGAUUCUAAUUAUUAAUAAAUGUUUCUUUUGGUGUUUCUGUUUUAAGGCUCUAUAUGGUUCAUUUCCAGAAAUUUGGGAUCUCAGUGCAGCUCAGUGAGUUAAUUGUUCAUUUGUACACAUCAAUGGUCAAAAACCAAAUGUGGGUCUCUUUGCAUCCAGCAGAUAUUUACUGUAUUUAAAGAGGAAAGUCUGAAUAAUAAAUAAUGUUAAUAUGUUUCUCUCUAUCAAAACAAUUGCAUUGAACACACCUGUGACAAAAAAUAUCCUUUUUCAUAAGGUUUACAUGCCUGUAACUUAAGAAAUAUUAAAGAUAUCCUAAUAUGCUUUUAUAGAUUUUGGCUCUUAACAAACUGUUCAUUUAUUACCUAUAUUUUUAAGGCUCUAUGUGGUUCAGUUCCAGAUAUAUUGGGACCUAAAUAUGGCUCCAAGAGAAAAAAGUUGAAUAUAACCAGUUUUCAAUGGUCAAAAACCAAAUGUGGGUCACUUUGCAUACAGAUGAUACUUUUUGUAUUUAAAGAAGAAUGUCUGAAAAUUUAAAAAAUGUUGACACUAGAAAUGUAUCUAAUUUCUCUAAACAAUAUUGUAUUGAACAAACCUCCCAGGUUAAAAAAUGCACUUCCAUAAUCUACUAAAAAUGCUCUAUUGUCACGCACUAAUUUUGUACUUAAUGUACUAAAAGUGAUUCUUUAGUGCUUCAUAAGAUAAACAACUGUGCUAUUUUGGGACACCAUGAAUAUGAACUAAAAUGUGCUUUUAACAUACUAUCUCUAUAUUUAAUAUAUAUAUAUAUAUAUAUAUAUAUAUUUAGUUUUCACUUGAACUAUCUUUUACACACUAGUAGAGGGGAAGUCGUGGCCUAGUGGUUAGAGAGUUUGACUCCUAACCCUAAGGUUGUGGGUUUGAGUCUCAGGCCGGUAAUACCACGACUGAGGUGCCCUUGAGCAAGACACCGAACCCCCAACUGCUCCCCGGGCGCCGCGGCAUAAAUGAUACCCACUGCUCCGGGUGUGUGUUCACGGUGUGUUCACUUCUCACUGCUGUGUGUGUGCACUUUGGAUGGGUUAAAUGCAGAGCACCAAUUCUGAGUAUGGGUCACCAUACUUGGCUGUAUGUCACGCCACCUUCACUAGAGUGGUAGUAAGUGUACUUACUACAAGU